GCCGUAUUAGCUCAGUAGGCAGAGCGCCGGAUUUGUAAUCCGGAUGCCCGGGGUUCGAUUCCUCGAUGCGGCACCA
Molecule: transfer RNA, 76 nt
Filed under: Herbaspirillum sp. CAH-3
Lineage: Bacteria; Pseudomonadati; Pseudomonadota; Betaproteobacteria; Burkholderiales; Oxalobacteraceae
Description: tRNA-Thr
Rfam family: tRNA
About the family: Transfer RNA (tRNA) molecules are approximately 80 nucleotides in length. Their secondary structure includes four short double-helical elements and three loops (D, anti-codon, and T loops).
Source: RNAcentral